This is a long non-coding RNA of Astatotilapia calliptera (eastern happy), 2050 nucleotides long. The record is from Ensembl. Lineage: Eukaryota; Metazoa; Chordata; Actinopteri; Cichliformes; Cichlidae.
GCACAAUCGGUGGCUGACUAAAUACUUUUUUGAGUUAGAUUUAAAACCGUUGUAAUUGAUUACAAUGAAUGUUCUCAUAAGAAGAAUUAUUUGAAUUUAGUUACUAUUGUCUUGUUGAAACACAGGUCGCAUAUUUGUGGAAACAACAGGAAACGGAAGUUGUUGUUUCUGUGGUCCCAUCUCAGAUUAGAGGUAACAACUUUGUCAUACGUCACAGUGAGUUCCUGACCCUUAGACCACACAGCUGGCUUGUUGGAGAGGUAUGUAAACUAGUUAUUUAAAAAAAAAAAGUAUUGCAUAAGGUUAACGUUAAAGCUGGGGCAGGACAUUAGUUUUUCCCUACACAUUCAGUAAGUACUACUUUAGAUCGACAUUCCAGGCAUAUCCUCAUGACUGAAUACUGAGUAUACGUAAGUAAAAAAAAUCUUUAUUAACCUUUGUAUUCCAAAACUUUAUCAUGUUUACAAAGUAAUAAAAGGUUAUUUAUUAAACUCCUCAGGUCAUUGAAAGUCUCCUGCACCACUGGGCCAUUCGGCUAAAUCAGGGGAAUAAUAUCUACAUUAUGAACCACUACACGAGCGGUGUGAUCCUCUAUGGAGAGAGAGAACUAAUCAGGAGACAAAGCUUGUCCAAGGUGAACUUUGACAACUACGGAGCCGUUUUAUCCUUUGUGAACAUUGGAAAUAUACACUGGAAGUUUCUGUACAUAAAUGCAGAUGACAGCUGUCUGUAUUUGGUCGAUCCUUCAAGAAACUCUUUGGAGCAGGAAGAGUCUGACCGUGCAGCCAAAAGAGUCCGUGAAUACUUCAAAAUGAGGAGGACAUGCUACAACAAAACAGACUGGGUGAAUGUGAGACUUCGAGGAGGAGUACUGACACAUCCAUUUCAACGGGAUGGUUCUAGCUGAGGAGUAAUGGUCAUCAUGAUGGUCAAAGAAGUAAUGGAAGCAUUCCCAAAUAAACCAGAAAUGACAUUUUUGACGACAAAAAACGAGAUGGCCCAGGCACGAAGGACAUUUGCACAGACAAUACUUGAGGCCUCUGUAUUUGACAGUGACAACAACUGUGCCAUGUGUGCAACGGUGAAACCACCUAAUCCAGGACCCUCCAUCACUGACUGGGUAUAGUAUUUUUUUAAAUAGUUUUAUGUUAUCUACAACAAAGUAUUUGACUCUGUGUCUUUAAUGAUUGUAAUUGAUUAAAACAUAGAAUUAUUUACGUAAUGUGUUUAUGAAAGUUCAUGUUUUUGUUUACAGAUCCAGUGUGAUAACUGCAACCACUGGUUCCAUUCUGAAGGCCUGGACAUGACAAAUGAACAGCUGAGCAGUGCUCAGAAGACAGAGUGGAAGUGUGUGCUUUGUGUAACCUAAUUCCACAUGCAGUGAAAGCUACUUGAAUAAUCUGCUUAUAGUUGUUAUUGGUGUUUUGAGGAACACAUGUGUAAAACACAAUGUGUAUAACAUUCUUGCUUUGUGCUCGUACUUCAAGUAUUUCCUUUUUGAUUUUUUUGGGUUGAUUUGUGUGAUGACAGAUAAUGAAUAACAAUAUAUCUAAACUGUGUAGUAGUAAUAUGAGAAAUCAGUAAUCUGAGAAAUGUAAUUUCUCACCCUGACCGGUUGAGGCAGAUGGCCCCGCCCCUCCCUGAGCCUGGUUCUGCCGGUGGUUUCUUCCUGUUAAAAGGGAGUUUUUCCUUCCCACUGUUGCUCAUAGGGGCUCAUAUGAUUGUUGGGUUUUUCUCUGUAUGUAUUAUUGUAAGGUUUAACUUAUUAUGUAAGUGCCUUAAGGUGGCUAUUGUUGUGAUUAAGCACUGAAUAAAUAAUGUCUAAAACUAAAGUUGCUACUUGAGGUGGUGUGUGAAUGACAUUUUGAAAAAUUUAAAUUGUGUGUGGAAAGAAAUUUCUUGUAGUUAAGCAAAUACUUCAAUGAACUCAUUUUGUUUGGUAAUGGAAUAGGAUUUAAUUUUAUCAGAAAUCCAUACAGUAAUUGUUGCUGUGGAUGACAGGGUGCAGAGUGGGGGUCACCCAGAGUCAUAAUCCAGUGAGAUAUCUGUG